This is a long non-coding RNA of Brienomyrus brachyistius, 1048 nucleotides long. RefSeq lists it as uncharacterized. NCBI's taxonomy places the organism in Eukaryota, Metazoa, Chordata, Actinopteri, Osteoglossiformes, Mormyridae. The record is from RefSeq and is a predicted model, not a curated record. The transcript has 3 exons.
UAGUUUCUACUUAAAUAUUAAAGCAUUAUAUACUAAAAAGAAAAAGUUUGAUGAUAUCACUUCAUAAUUUUAAGUAUAUUCUACUAAUUUGUUGGCAUAGUCCAAUGUGCAAAUAAUGUGAAGUACAAUAAGCUUAAAUUGAAAAGUUAUUGAACAGACCACACCUCUUCUUCCCAAUUGUGAUAACUGCCUAUUAACAGAGUAAUGAGCAGUUGCUCAAGGUAUCAGUGUGUGUGUGUUUUCCUUAUUUCAACAGUCUAUAUUGCAGCCUGCUCUUACACAGACAUAUAAUACAAAACAAAAACAGUCUAAAACUGAUUUUUUUGUUGCGGUUGUGUGGAUUCAAACACCGCUGGCGAGGAACUGGAAGGUGAGUUUAACUCCCUCAGUUGUAAAAACUUCAUUUAAACUUUCGUCAUUUCGACGGAAAUUUUUAGACACUGGCUAAUUUACCUGGCUGUGCAAUGUAUAUUUACCUAACUGUGGGGGGGAGGGUUUUGGGGGCAGCGGUGGAAACAAUUUUUUAACAUUUACCGGUUCGUUGGCUUUUUUUAUCCACAACUAAUCGAUAUCUAAUGCUAGUGUAACCCAGCCUUAGAUUGAGCUACGCAUUAAUAUGUUCAUAUUAUUAUUUUUCUUUUUUUGUGAGUAUUCCCCUUUCAGAAUUGAGGGAGUGUCGUAAACAAGAUGCAGCGUUACGGCAGCUGGUUGUCAUGGUACUCCUAGUGGGGAUUCGCGGGCUUCGCCUUUAGGCUUUCACCUGGCCGGCUGCAACCGUUAUUUUUUCCAAGAAGAUAGCGGGAACACAUGCGGCUGUUUUACGCGGUUUACCACGGCCUAUUGUAUCUGGUUUCCUGGAGAGUUUUACUGUCGACAAGUUCUGCAGAUUCUGUUUGGCAAGCAGUAGAGACACUCAACAACAAGAGAUGGCCAUGGAACAGAAAUUAACAAUGCGGGUUAUCAUCUCCGAGGGUGAUAUAAGAAAGAUGACAAUGAACCCUCGACCAUACAUACUUGAAGAUUUGAUUAGCUGGCUCAAAGGCACUCU